Molecule: transfer RNA, 75 nt
Filed under: Rhamnusium bicolor
Lineage: Eukaryota; Metazoa; Arthropoda; Insecta; Coleoptera; Cerambycidae
Description: tRNA-OTHER
Source: RNAcentral
GGCUUCGUGGUGGAGUGGUAAGGACACUUGCCUCUCACUCUGGAGCCUCGGGUUCGAUCCCCGGGGGAGGAGCUA